RNAcentral lists this long non-coding RNA (219 nucleotides) under Lathyrus oleraceus (garden pea). RNAcentral's name for it is "Pisum sativum (pea) long non-coding RNA (PSAT_LNC008497)". The record is from RNAcentral. Lineage: Eukaryota; Viridiplantae; Streptophyta; Magnoliopsida; Fabales; Fabaceae.
UUUUUUUCGGUUCAGGCAUUUCUGGUUUCAUCUAUUCUUUUUCUCUUUUUUUUUUUUUUUUUAGCAGGAUCGACCUCGAUUCCUCUUUCGUUCCCAAUAAGCCUCAGCAACUUACCGGACAGCACUCCACAAGUGCACUGAUUCGGACUCAACCUCAGUCUGAAUUAUCUCGAUCCGGUCAAACAACCUGCCCCGGAUCUACCAGAUGCCCUUCUUCUG